This 254-nucleotide ribosomal RNA is filed under the name uncultured bacterium. RNAcentral's name for it is "partial 16S ribosomal RNA". It matches the Rfam family "Bacterial small subunit ribosomal RNA", at positions 524 to 776 of the family's 1533-position model. The record is from RNAcentral.
UACGGGGGGAGCAAGCGUUGUUCGGAUUUACUGGGCGUAAAGGGCGCGUAGGCGGCCAGCGCAAGUCAGUUGUGAAAUCUCCGGGCUUAACUCGGAACGGUCAACUGAUACUGCGCGGCUAGAGUGCAGAAGGGGCAACUGGAAUUCUCGGUGUAGCGGUGAAAUGCGUAGAUAUCGAGAGGAACACCUGCGGCGAAGGCGGGUUGCUGGGCUGACACUGACGCUGAGGCGCGAAAGCUAGGGGAGCGAACGGG